Molecule: long non-coding RNA, 313 nt
Filed under: Nicotiana benthamiana
Lineage: Eukaryota; Viridiplantae; Streptophyta; Magnoliopsida; Solanales; Solanaceae
Description: long non-coding RNA (NBEN_LNC004380)
Source: RNAcentral
AAUAGUUUCCCCAACUAAUCCACCCCUUCGGCAGAUUCUUGAAAAGGCUGAUGGCAUUUGAAUAAGCAAGAUUAGCCCCUUCACAAUCACUAAGCUUCAACAGAAAGUCUCCCUUGAGGCGAAAGAUUUCAGCUUUGUGUUUAACAGAGCAAUCAUUAAGCUUCAACAGAAAGUCUCCCUUGAGGCGAAAGAUUUCAGCUUUGUGUUUAACAGAAAAAUACUCAAGAUUAGUACUGUUUAUCAAAUUAAGGCCGCUAGUCAGCUCUCCCUUCAUUUCUAGAUAAGCCUUUGCUUGUUCUCUUAUUUUUACAAA